RNA transcript from Amphimedon queenslandica, 2352 nucleotides. RefSeq lists it as uncharacterized. The transcript is spliced from 6 exons. Lineage: Eukaryota; Metazoa; Porifera; Demospongiae; Haplosclerida; Niphatidae. The record is from RefSeq and is a predicted model, not a curated record.
AUAAUUUUUAAGAUGGAUAGCAUCAUAGCAAUUCUAAUGCUUCUAAUGGGCUCCUGGAGAAUGAUCUGUAGUGAGACAGAGACUCAAGAUAUAGCUACUGGUACAGAGAGUGUUUAUGAGCCUCCCUCAAUCUUUUCGGAGCAAGAAAAAUUAGCAGAAACCAAUUCUCCAACUCCACUAGUCCCCAUUACAGAAGGGCCAAACCUCACAGGUCAUAAUUCUAGUCUCAACUCAACUGGAUCAAAGCUCAAACCAAUCUGUACUCUAGAACAAGGCUGCGUUCCUCCUCUAACGUGUGUGGGGGUCAAUACAAGUCUCCUCAACGAUAGUCACAUGACUGGGGUCUUUGGGAAAAGGGGUGUGGUCAAUGUCACAUCAGCCCAAUUGGAGACUCUACUAGAUUCGCCGGUUUUCACUAAUUCAUGUCUUCUUGUGUUAUAUUAUGCUACAUGGUGCCCAUACAGUGUUGAUUUCAUGCCUACGUACAAUGAGCUUGGAUUAGUGUUUCCUAAUGACUCACUCACUAUUGUGGCACUGGAUUUUGGGAAAAAAGACGAUGAAAAGUUUUUACUGGCAUACAUCCCGCGUGUGUUGCUGUACUACUCUGGUAGAGCUGUCUUUGAUGUGGACACAUCAUUGAGUAUUGAUAAUCUUACAAGCAUCUUAUCCAAUAUGACAGGACUCUUACCAUUAGCAAGAGAGAAUGAUACUAGUGAAGAGACCCAAUCUAUUCACAUUGAAUGGGAGUUUGAUUCAACUUGGUAUUUCUUGGGUGUAAUCGGUAUUGGACUGAUAACAAUAAUUAACCUACUAAAGAGAACUAGCUUUUUUACUAUGGUAGCAAAACUAAGGGAUGUAAUCAGGAAUCUUGUUUUAAAAAUAAAGACAGAUUAAGAAUAUCAAUUGUUUAAUUAUACCAUGAAUGCAUUAUACUGUACUCGCCCCAAUUAAUGCACCCUCCUAAUUAUUGCACCUCUACAUGGCUUUCACAAUAAAAACUUUCUAUUACGUGCACCUCCUGGUCAAGAUAAUUUUUUUUGAGAGGUGGAUUGUAAUUAGAAAGUCCCAUUGUUUACAGGUGUCUGAUCUCUGCAAAGUGCAAACCAAUGCUAUAGGUUAUAAUUCUUAUUCUUAUUUAAAUUAGCUUCUCAAUCAUCAUUAUACAAUAUGCACUGUUUACUUUUGAUAUCUCCUUAAGGCUUGGUGGUUUCUUUAUGAUUACUAUAUAACUUAAAUGUUUAAACUUUCAGUAUGAUAAUGAUAUCUGCAUGUGAUUGACUAUUAUAAAGGAAGGGAGAUGUUUUUUUAUAUCAAAAAUAACAUCCAACUACUUUGGUUGAUAUGAAUAUACAUGUGAAGGAAACAAGUGCUAUAGUGUAUGCAUCCAAGAGCAAGCAAUUGAAUCCAAUUUUUUGGGAAUUUUCAUGGGAGGCUUGUAUAUUGUGUUAUUAUAAUUUUUACACUACUUCCAAGUAUACAGCCAAAGUGAUUUGCUUUUACCCAAAUUUUGUUAAGGAUACAAGGAAGACAAACAUGAAAUGGUUUCAAAACAGCAGAGCGAGGGUAUUUAAGUAUUCAGCUCACACUUACUGAAUCAUUAAACACAAUUCAAAACUACUAGCUCAGUAAGAAUUAGAAAGAGAGAGAAGAUGAAGGUGCUUAUAGUUCUUGUUGUGAUGGUUGGAUUUCUGUAUGGUAUUGACUCAAAAACUUUGGUAACUGAGAAUGAGAUGCUAAAUGAGUCUGAAGAUGGUAUUGCUGCUGAUAUUGAGAAGAUGCCAGCUGAAGGUUUUGAAGAAACCGAGAAACAAUUACAACAGGCACCAUUGGAUGAGGAAGAACCUACAGAUGAAGUAGAACAAGAAGAACUUACAGAUGAAGCAGAACAAGAGGAGGAAGUGACUGCCAAUGGCUGUGUGGUAACUGCGAGGGUCUGUGGUCUAUUCUAUAAACCAAAAUGGUGCAAAGCUAGGCAAUGCUUCACAGUCCGUGCUGCAGCAACUAGGCCAGUUUAUAAAAAAAUAUGCAAAUACCACAAGUUCGAUUACAAAAAGCAUGCAUGUUCCAAACGUCAGUGUUUCAAAGUGCAAGUGGGAGUCGAGGUUGUAUAUGUUAAAGCCAGGAAAUGCUGGAGAUACACAAAAUUCUGUGGCUUUAAAUGUGUUCGAAAGUGUAAGACCAUCACUUUUCGUUAUCCAUCACCACCACCUGCAGAGGUAGCUCAGAACUGAAGGAAGACAGUGAUUGAAGUGUCAAUGGACUAAUUUGUUUAUAGUAUUAGUUUAAUAGCUGCACUGCAUAGGUAGUGCAUGUAAUGUCCUUUUUAAGAAUCUUUUUAAAUUUUUCAUCAUA